GACGAACGCGGCGGCGUGCCUAAUACAUGCAAGUAGGACGCACAGUUUAUACCGUAGCUUGCUACACCAUAGACUGUGAGUUGCGAACGGGUGAGUAACGCGUAGGUAACCUGCCUAUUAGAGGGGGAUAACUAUUGGAAACGAUAGCUAAUACCGCAUAACAGUAUGUAACACAUGUUAGAUGCUUGAAAGAUGCAAUUGCAUCGCUAGUAGAUGGACCUGCGUUGUAUUAGCUAGUAGGUAGGGUAAUGGCCUACCUAGGCGACGAUACAUAGCCGACCUGAGAGGGUGAUCGGCCACACUGGGACUGAGACACGGCCCAGACUCCUACGGGAGGCAGCAGUAGGGAAUCUUCGGCAAUGGGGGGAACCCUGACCGAGCAACGCCGCGUGAGUGAAGAAGGUUUUCGGAUCGUAAAGCUCUGUUGUUAAGGAAGAACGAGUGUGAGAAUGGAAAGUUCAUACUGUGACCGGUACUUAACCAGAAAAGGACG
This 493-nucleotide ribosomal RNA is filed under the name Streptococcus anginosus. RNAcentral's name for it is "bacterial SSU rRNA". It matches the Rfam family "Bacterial small subunit ribosomal RNA", at positions 28 to 495 of the family's 1533-position model. Lineage: Bacteria; Bacillati; Bacillota; Bacilli; Lactobacillales; Streptococcaceae. The record is from RNAcentral.